CAUCACCUCCAUGUCUGGGAAAAGAUAUUAACAGUCCCUCUUGUGGCUGUUAGAUUCCAGAACCUGAGUCUUUCAUGGCCUUGGAUAGAGCACUGGACUGGGAUGCAGGACACCUUGGUUCUAUUGCCGGCUCUGCAUCUGGAUGACCUGGCAUUCAGCUCUCCCACGGUCCAUCUCAUUGCAAGGAGAAACUGGAGGGCACAGUGUUCGUGUCUGUUUCCAGUAUCCGUGUGCUGCUUUUGCCAAAGGGACGAUUUUAACAAAGCCCCUUUCUAUACUCAAGGCACGCUGCGAUUUUCACGCUGAUGCUAGAAAAGAGGGGAAAAAACCAAAGGGAACCAAACGGCUGUGGACUGAGUGUAGCUGCAUUAGUCAAAACGGAGCUUGCAGGAGCUUUCAAUAUACACCUGCAUGAGGAUUCGUCUUCUGUUCCAAUCGCUCUCGGCCGAAAGCAUUAAAUCAUGCGAAAUGAAAAACGUGCAGCAGGCUGAAAUUACAAACUUGGUCUAUUUUUUUGUUUAAAAUGAGAAAUCAUAUGUCAUGUCACUUAGAGUGAAAGCUAACUUAAUAUAUUCCCUUAAAAGCCAAGGAGUAUAAUUUGGCUGUCAUAAAAACCCACAGAUUAUAAAACGUGUUUUGUGAUGUA
This is a long non-coding RNA of Chrysemys picta bellii (western painted turtle), 646 nucleotides long. RefSeq lists it as uncharacterized. NCBI's taxonomy places the organism in Eukaryota, Metazoa, Chordata, Testudines, Emydidae. The record is from RefSeq and is a predicted model, not a curated record.